UCCUUGUUAGCUCAGUUGGUAGAGCGUUCGGCUUUUAAGCACUGCUUGCAAGGAACCGAAAUGUCAGGGGUUCGAGCCCCCUAUGAGGAG
Kluyveromyces marxianus is the source of this 90-nucleotide non-coding RNA. The record is from Rfam. Lineage: Eukaryota; Fungi; Ascomycota; Saccharomycetes; Saccharomycetales; Saccharomycetaceae.